GCGCUCAUAGCUCAAUGGAUAGAGCAUUCGACUCCGACUCGGAAGGUUGCAGGUUCGACUCCUGUUGAGCGCGCCA
This 76-nucleotide transfer RNA is filed under the name Erysipelotrichaceae bacterium. RNAcentral's name for it is "tRNA-Arg". It matches the Rfam family "tRNA". From Rfam's summary of the family: Transfer RNA (tRNA) molecules are approximately 80 nucleotides in length. Their secondary structure includes four short double-helical elements and three loops (D, anti-codon, and T loops). Further hydrogen bonds mediate the characteristic L-shaped molecular structure. tRNAs have two regions of fundamental functional importance: the anti-codon, which is responsible for specific mRNA codon recognition, and the 3' end, to which the tRNAs corresponding amino acid is attached (by aminoacyl-tRNA synthetases). tRNAs cope with the degeneracy of the genetic code in two manners: having more than one tRNA (with a specific anti-codon) for a particular amino acid; and 'wobble' base-pairing, i.e. permitting non-standard base-pairing at the 3rd anti-codon position. Lineage: Bacteria; Bacillati; Bacillota; Erysipelotrichia; Erysipelotrichales; Erysipelotrichaceae. The record is from RNAcentral.